This 435-nucleotide ribosomal RNA is filed under the name Nocardia sp. 15-451. RNAcentral's name for it is "bacterial SSU rRNA". It matches the Rfam family "Bacterial small subunit ribosomal RNA", at positions 57 to 509 of the family's 1533-position model. The record is from RNAcentral. Lineage: Bacteria; Bacillati; Actinomycetota; Actinomycetes; Mycobacteriales; Nocardiaceae.
GCAAGUCGAGCGGUAAGGCCCUUCGGGGUACACGAGCGGCGAACGGGUGAGUAACACGUGGGUGAUCUGCCUCGUACUCUGGGAUAAGCCUGGGAAACUGGGUCUAAUACCGGAUAUGACCACGAGUCGCAUGGUUUGUGGUGGAAAGAUUUAUCGGUGCGAGAUGGGCCCGCGGCCUAUCAGCUUGUUGGUGGGGUAAUGGCCUACCAAGGCGACGACGGGUAGCCGGCCUGAGAGGGCGACCGGCCACACUGGGACUGAGACACGGCCCAGACUCCUACGGGAGGCAGCAGUGGGGAAUAUUGCACAAUGGGCGGAAGCCUGAUGCAGCGACGCCGCGUGCGGGAUGACGGCCUUCGGGUUGUAAACCGCUUUCGACAGGGACGAAGCGUGAGUGACGGUACCUGUAGAAGAAGCACCGGCCAACUACGUGCC